CAAUAGCGUAUAUUAAAGUUGUUGCAGUUAAAAAGCUCGUAGUUGGAUUUCUGGUGGAGCGAUCGGUCUGGCGCUUAGCGCGAGUACUUGCAUCGUCUCCGGCCAUCCUUGGGGAGAGUCUGUCUGGCAUUAGGUUGUCGGGCAGAGGACCCUCAUCGUUUACUGUGAAAAAAUUAGAGUGUUCAAAGCAGGCUUAUGCCGUUGAAUAUAUUAGCAUGGAAUAAUAAGAUAGGACUUUGGUACUAUUUUGUUGGUUUGCGCACCAAAGUAAUGAUUAAUAGGGACAGUUGGGGGUAUUCGUAUUCCGUUGUCAGAGGUGAAAUUCUUGGAUUUACGGAAGACGAACUACUGCGAAAGCAUUUACCAAGGAUGUUUUCAUUAA
RNAcentral lists this ribosomal RNA (382 nucleotides) under uncultured eukaryote. RNAcentral describes it as "partial 18S ribosomal RNA". It matches the Rfam family "Eukaryotic small subunit ribosomal RNA", at positions 592 to 976 of the family's 1831-position model. The record is from RNAcentral.